AUUAUAGCAUUACAGGAAGUAGCUCAUAAACAGUGUGGUAAGUGUUCUUCAGAGUGUGUUUGCGCACACUUUGUGUGAGUUCCCGCCGGCUCUCCUGUUGGCUGUGAGACGAGCUCUGUCGUGCCCUUCACUGCUUUCUGCCAUCCUUCCUGACGUGAGGCCUCAAAAACGGGAGGGGCUGGAACUAAGGAUUUGAAAGUAAAACAAUGGGUACUUUUUAUUGCAUAAGAAAUUAAAAACUACAUUCUUGUUAGAAAAUGAAAAAGUUGCUGAUAAAACUGAAGUUGCCUUUGAUGAGCAUUUCGUGGUCCACCUCCUAAUCUCUUCUCCAGGGGACACCCCAGUCAGCAGCUUGGUGUGGGUUGCCUGAGACCUUUGUGCAUGUAUGUGUACGUGUCUACGUUUGUUAGAACUAGGCAAUAUGGUGUUUUUUGUUUUUAAACAUAAAUGCAAUCUUUCUGUAUCAUUCUGUUGAUUUUUAACUGUAGCUGAAAGCUCUUUUAUCCCUAAAUUAUCUUUCUUUUAACUGUUCCAUAGUACUCUAUUAUAUGCAGCAUGAUUUAAUACUUUAUAAAAACUUGAGAAAAAAAUAUUUUUCCAACUGAAACAGGUUUAUAGAAAAUCUAAGGUGAACUUUAAAGGAUUUGUUUUUUUCAGGGCAGAUACCAGGUCAAUAUUUUGCCAGUAAUCAUCAGUCACAAAAAUAAAACCUGAUACAUCUUGUUUGAUUUUAUUCAGUGAAUUAUAGUUACUAUACAUGAUUGUCUAGUUCUUUUGUAUAUAAGAGCUCAUUGAGCAGGAAUGUAUUUUAUCUUUGUUCCUCCCCAAGACCUACAGCAGUUUGCAUGAAGUUUAAAAAAAAAAAGUCUAUCCUGGUUGAAUUGAACUGAAAAUACUUUGUUUAGAGAUUUGCAGUCUGAGCUGGCCUGCCUAUACACUGGCAAAUGCAGAAGGGGAUAAAACGGGCUCGGUAGUGAGUCUGUUUGAGCCCCGUACCUCAGAAACUUAGAGUCCAAAUCCUGGCAUUCUACUUUUUCAAAAAUUUCCAGACAAAAGAAAAAAGCUAAACAAGAAGUCAAGGUUUAUAUACGAAG
Molecule: non-coding RNA, 1094 nt
Organism: Callorhinus ursinus (northern fur seal)
Lineage: Eukaryota; Metazoa; Chordata; Mammalia; Carnivora; Otariidae
Source: RefSeq, a predicted model, not a curated record